AAGAAGGGAGCAAAAGAAACUAUCAAGAAAGAUGAAGAUGAAGGAAGAUGAAGCAAUAAGCACCGGAAUAUGAAAAACCUGCCACUACUGAG
Long non-coding RNA from Eptesicus fuscus (big brown bat), 92 nucleotides. RefSeq lists it as uncharacterized. Lineage: Eukaryota; Metazoa; Chordata; Mammalia; Chiroptera; Vespertilionidae. The record is from RefSeq and is a predicted model, not a curated record. The transcript has 3 exons.